This 349-nucleotide ribosomal RNA is filed under the name uncultured delta proteobacterium. RNAcentral's name for it is "bacterial SSU rRNA". It matches the Rfam family "Bacterial small subunit ribosomal RNA", at positions 1065 to 1414 of the family's 1533-position model. Lineage: Bacteria; Deltaproteobacteria. The record is from RNAcentral.
CCGUGAAAUGUUGGUUAAGUCCCGCAAAGAGCGCAACCCCUAUUGCUAGUUGCCAUCACAUAAUGGUGGGCACUCUAGUGAGACUGCCCGGGUCAACCGGGGGGAAGGUGGGGACGACGUCAAGUCAUCAUGGCCCUUACGUCCAGGGCUACACACGUACUACAAUGGUGGAUACAGAGGGUCGCGAAGCCGCGAGGUCGAGCCAAUCCCAGAAAAUCCAUCCCAGUCCGGAUCGCAGUCUGCAACUCGACUGUGUGAAGUUGGAAUCGCUAGUAAUCCCAGAUCAGCAUGCUGGGGUGAAUACGUUCCCGGGCCUUGUACACACCGCCCGUCACACCACGAAAGCUGG